Molecule: long non-coding RNA, 2320 nt
Organism: Trachemys scripta elegans
Lineage: Eukaryota; Metazoa; Chordata; Testudines; Emydidae
Exons: 3
Source: RefSeq, a predicted model, not a curated record
GCCUGGCGCUCAAUAACUCCAGAAGCCGAGCUCCUGAAAGUCCAGUGAGACAGAGCAGCAUGUGGAUGGAUGGACAGUGAGAGCAGCGUGUGUUUGGGGAAGGAUAGAUAGUGAGAGAGUGACGGGCUUCUCCCUGUGGACUUGCUCACUGGUGACCAACAUUUUGGAUUUAAAGCCAUUUUGGCUGGGAGACGAUGCCAGCGACUGCUGCUUGUGGCUCGUGGAUUUCAGGUCUCUUCACUCACAGGUACAAAGUGCUCUGCCUGAACCAGUUGACACGCCGUGCCACCCACUGCAGCCUGGAGAUCGGGUCUACAUUAAGGUACACGAGAGAAAGACUUCCCUGGAGCCUCGCUGGAGAGGCCCCUACCAGGUCCUGUUGACCACCCACACAGCGGUCAAAUGCAAGGGGCUCGUCAGCUGGAUCCACGCCUCCCACUGCAAACAGACAACGCCACCUUUGAACCCGAACGCUAAAGAAUUCCAUCCGGCAGACUCCGCUCUAGGAAGUGACCAGGGUGAUAGCAACUGUGACUUCUCUCCAGGGCCCGAGAAGGAACCUAGAUAUAAUCUCAGGGAAUGAAAAUAGACCUCAGCACCCCGAUCUAUCAGUCCGUGGGCAAUCGGAGCCACCUUAAUCUCCUGUACGCUGCCUUUACAGCCAGCUGAAGCUUCGGCCUGCUGGAAAAUGGAAUACAAGAGACACAAGGCCAGAAUAAUGCCUUUAAAAGCCCAGUGGAGAGCCUAGCGCCCACUGGCACCCAGCUGCCAUGGCCGACCCCACAGACAGAAUAAAAGAAACAGCCAUGGUGCGAAAAUGGCUCAUGCCCUCAAUUUGGUUCAUGUGUGUAGCUAUGCUCUUGCUGUUAUUGUUAAACUUCCAUGAUACCUUUAUGUUCUUUUGGAUGCCCAAGACCACCAUCAAAGGAAAAGAUCCCUUGAGACCACUGGACCAGGAUCUGGGUAGUGUGCUAGCAACCUCUCCCCGGUAUAAUACUAAAGCACGACCGUUCCAAGAGAGACGAAGGAACACUCACGCUGCUGAAGUCCCCAAAGUCCAGAAAUUCCUAACAACAAGGGACAUUGAAAAUUGGCCCUGGUGGAAGAAACGAAGUAUUAUACAUUGGCAGGGAGGGAGUUGCGGGAUGUAUUCUUGGGAAUGUGGAGUUAAGUGGUGGGGUGGGUUUAUUCCGGGGGCUGCAAACUGUGUUUAAGGACAAGUACCAUCAGCAUGUACUGCCCUCCCUAAUUGGCUUCCGGAGGAUGAAUACUAAAAAUGCCUUGCUGCCACAAAUAUUAACCCCACCGUCCCCGCCACCUCUGCCACCAUCCCUGAAAUUGACCCAAAUACAGAUAAUACGGUAUAUUCUACGGAAAUCCAUUGGCCCAGAUUUUUCCAGUAAUUUACUAAAAUUUUGUUCAGAAAAAUUAUUUUUCAAAGUCCAAAAUAAAGCAUAUGAAUGAACAAUUGAAUGGAAAACAAAUGGUUGGUGGAAAUAGAAAUAUAUGAUAUCACUACACAUAAGCCCCAGGAAUCAGAAAUUAAAAUCGAGGGGUUCUAGGAAGGGGUAGAUAUGAUGGCCGUUCCUGGAACUUGCAGAAUGCUGGAUGAAAGAGGCCUUUAUUGCUAUUUUGUCACGCAAUUAGUAAAUAAUCAAACGUCUACCCAAAGGGUUUGUUCUGCUGUGGGAGAUUUUACCAUUAUUAAAAUAAUUCCAGUAACUAAUAACUUAACCUGUACAAUAUUGCAAUAUUCCCUUCCUAUGCUAUUAAUGUCAAUGCAUCUCAAAAGUACAUAAAAGUGUAUAGCCAACAGAUAUGGUCUAGUACUUCACCAAAAAGGGAUGUGUUAGGAUAUUGUAAGGGAAAAUCCAGUGGCAUCCAAACCUUAUAGGCCCAAGCCUCAUGUCAAGCUGCCAAGGUCAGCUCACUUAAAUGAACAAAAGGGGGGCACAGAGGAGGCAGUGGAAAAUACCCAACAGUCCCCUAGCAAAAGCAAUUUUGCAAUAUCCCUUACAGUCGCUGUUUAAAUACAAAAGGACAGACAGUAAAUAACAGGAAAGGCUUAAUAUGGGAAGAAUUUAAGUUUGCUCCAAUCUGUAUCGAUUUUGCAAUAUUUUUAGUAAGGAAAUAACAAGGAAAUGUAUGCAACCUUGUGUAACUAGUUUGUGGUUUUAAGCUUUAUAAGCCUGUCUGUAACCAGCUUCGGGGAGGCCGUUUCCAGUAGCGGUCCUUCCCUGCGCGCUUGUAAUCAAUAAAGAGCCUCAGGCUGAUCUGAUUGAAAAACACAACGCGUGGAUCGAUUUUUCCACAACAUUUG